Molecule: ribosomal RNA, 404 nt
Filed under: uncultured Oscillochloris sp.
Lineage: Bacteria; Bacillati; Chloroflexota; Chloroflexia; Chloroflexales; Oscillochloridaceae
Description: bacterial SSU rRNA
Rfam family: Bacterial small subunit ribosomal RNA
Source: RNAcentral
CAAGGAAUUUUCCCCAAUGGGCGCAAGCCUGAGGGAGCAACGCCGCGUGCAGGAUGACGGCUUUCGGGUUGUAAACUGCUUUUGGGUGGGACGAUAAUGACGGUACCACCCGAAUAAGCCCCGGCUAACUCCGUGCCAGCAGCCGCGGUAAUACGGAGGGGGCAAGCGUUGUCCGGACUUACUGGGCGUAAAGGGUCCGUAGGCGGCCUGCUGCGUCGCUGCUGAAAGCGCCCCGCUUAACGGGGCGAGGCGUGGCGAUACGAGCAGGCUUGAGGAAGGCAGAGGGUGGCGGAAUUCCGGGUGUAGUGGUGAAAUGCGUAGAGAUCCGGAGGAACGCCUGUGGCGCAAGCGGCCACCUGGGCCUUAUCUGACGCUGAGGGACGAAAGCGUGGGGAGCAAACCGG